CACAAGUAGCCUCUUUCUCAAAUUUCUCUUCAAAUUUCCUCCAACCUCCAAAAUUUAUUUCCAAUAUGCUCUUCGUGCACAAAUUUCAACUUCCGUCUCUUGCCAGAAUCUUGGAUUUGGGGCUAAUUUGAUUAUCUUGAUAAGUUAAGGUUCGAGAUCGGUUUUGAGAAGAUUUUUUAAGUUUGGUACUACCAUGCUAAGUUUGGGAUCGAGUUUGGAUCAAGUGACAGUUUGGGAUUUACUUCAAGAUUUUCAAGAGCCUAAACGGAGUUUAGUUGCUUGAAUAAAAUAUUUGGAUUUAAUUUUGAGGUAAGUAGUUUUACUACUGCAAUGUCCUCAUAUCAAGCAAUUAAUUGAUAAUGUUUGUUAUGUAUGAUGAUUGAAGCAUCAUUUUCUUUAUAUGAUUGAUGAUUGACCCAGAAAUGCAUGUCGUUAUCACACAUCCAAGGACCAAAUAAAUUUAUAACUCCAAUCUAACAACCCACUUAAGACGUAGUAUAGAGCGCAAGAAAAGGAUCGUCCAAAGAGAACCAUCGACUAGCCUUAAAACAAUUAUUUAACUCCAUUGUGAUAGGGGGUUUUGUUGUAAAAAUUGAUAAAAUUGUGCAAGAAUGUAAGGUCUGGAAUGUAAAUGCAUAAAUGUAAAGAUAGAAACUCAAUUUUUAAAAUGUUCUAGCCUAGUUAGGUUUCCUCCUCAUUUUUCUUGGUACACAUAGGCAUUUAACAUAAUCAAGAUUCUUGCUAAUUAUUCAUUUAACCUAUGCAACUUAAAAGCCUAUAAUUUCAUAACCUCAAUUUCAUGAUUAAACAGUUCAUUGAAUCCUAAGUGACACAACUAAUUGGGUUCGAUAGCAUCCAUAUUAAUUGUGCAUUUGCAUUAAGAGGGGCAAUCUUGACUAAGAUUGAAUUAGUAGUUCGGAAUGUCUAGGUUACUAAUUCAAUUAUUCUUGAAUUUAAUUAAUCAUGCAUAAUUGUAAACAAGAUUAAUCCCAAUAACCUAAAUUCACAAAUUUGCAAUUUUUAGUUUUGU
This is a non-coding RNA of Benincasa hispida (wax gourd), 1030 nucleotides long. The record is from RefSeq and is a predicted model, not a curated record. NCBI's taxonomy places the organism in Eukaryota, Viridiplantae, Streptophyta, Magnoliopsida, Cucurbitales, Cucurbitaceae.